GUCGCACCUACCGAUUGGAUGAUCCGGUGAAGUCUUGAGAUUUUUGUUGUUCCAGUUCUUGAAAUGAUGAGGAAAACAAGCCUAAACUUUAUCAUCUAGAGGAAGGUG
This 108-nucleotide ribosomal RNA is filed under the name uncultured eukaryote. RNAcentral describes it as "partial small subunit ribosomal RNA". It matches the Rfam family "Eukaryotic small subunit ribosomal RNA", at positions 1675 to 1785 of the family's 1831-position model. The record is from RNAcentral.